Long non-coding RNA from Carya illinoinensis, 2587 nucleotides. RefSeq lists it as uncharacterized. The transcript has 4 exons. NCBI's taxonomy places the organism in Eukaryota, Viridiplantae, Streptophyta, Magnoliopsida, Fagales, Juglandaceae. The record is from RefSeq and is a predicted model, not a curated record.
CGCUAUACAUUUAUUAGUCUUUCCUCCCAAACACAUUACCCCCCAACAACUAGCUUCUGCACUUUGACAGACCCUCGAUUACAGAGCACCAACUUUUGGCCCCUUCCCAAUGUUUGCGCAUGACGUCACCUCCUUUGUCUUCAGCCAAACUCGUUUUCACUGUCUCAUUUUCCCACACCCUUCUCCCUUCCGUUGUUAGUUGUCCAUUUUCGGCUAUCUGCAAAAUAGAAUAAUCGAGUUCCCUUCGUUUCAGAGUUACGAUGCUGUGACCCUACGCUUCCUUCCCUUACAACUGAGGUUCUGUGCCUCUAUUUCGUUUUGGAGUUGAACUUUUGCCGCAGUCCAUUAUAAUCAUCGUUUGCUCCAGGAAAUAUCACCAUCAUACAGGUUGAAAAAAUUUAUCAGUUAGCUAAUGGUAUUGACAAUCUGGGAUCCAACAUUGAAGCAGUUAAGGUGAUUAGACAUUCUCAUAUAAGUUUGGGAAAGGCAUGUUAUCGAGGGAAGGGACCAGCUGCGACGAAGACACUGGUGGCUGGGUGUGACCGGCAAUGUAAAGGGUCUUCUUAGAGGAAGUGGGUUCAUCGAAAAUGAACUGGCCAGUGAUUUCUGUGGCUAACGGUGGUUCUCUGACGUCCUGGGGUGGUCAGUGGUGGCUGGUAGAAAAAAUUAGGCCUUAGCCCGUUGCAACAGUAGCCUGUCGCAGCACCACGCACAUCCUGCCGUCAGUUUGGAAAAAUAGGUAAGUAUGUUUGAAAUUUGUUUUACUUUCUGUCUACAAAUGCAGUGAGAGGGGAAAAGAUUUUAAACUUUUCUUUGGAAUCCUAGGCUCAAAACCAGACACUUUGAUCUGAAAACCAUUAUACAAAAAUUGGAUUAAAGACUAUAUAUCAUGUAUAAAGCUAGAAUCCACUUUCUUUUUUUAUUUUUUAUUUUUUGUCUUACAAGUGUAAAGCUGGAUUGACACUUACAUCUACUUCUAGAACAAUAAGAACAAACAAAUGUGAACGCAUAUAUAUAUGGCAUGACUUUAUUUUUUCUUUCCUUUCUAAAAAAUUCACCUGUUGCACUCCAGGAUCGUCUACAAGAUUUAUUUCAUUUGUAUUAGUUCAACUUGGUCUUUGUGAAGGUGGAGUGAGAGUGGAGUGAAGUGGUCUUUGUGAAGAUGAAGUGUUUCAUGAAGUGCUAUUGAGGAAGUUAAUUCAUUGAUAAAUUAAUGCAAAACUAAUGCAAUAUUCAAUAAGUGUUCUUGUUAAAUUAAUUGAAUCAUUUACCGUGAAGUUAGGAUUAUGGUAGUAAUCUUUGUGCACUAUUUUUAAAGUACUAAAAAUAGGAUGUAUUUGGAGUAUCAUAUCAACCCAUGCAUAAAUCAAGACCUCCAUGAUAUUUCGUUUAUAAUGACCUGCAUCAACAUCUACAAUUACUGUUUUCUAAUGAUGGGGAUAGAUUGUUUCAACUUCCUGACAAUCAAAGAUGAAAACAAAAGAACAAACCAUAUUAAUGUGUUCUGCAAAUCACUUCACAUGUUUGAUCUGUGUUGGUAAGGAGCUACAGAACGAACCAAUUAUGAUGCCAUUAAUUUCUUUCCAUUUAUGCUUGAAGACUGCCCUUCAAGUUGAAGUAACUCAUCAUGCACUUUAUCCACGAUGGAGCUUAGGAAUUCUUGAGCAUCUUCCUGCCUGAAAAUGACAACACCAGAGACCAACUUAAAUUAAUCACAAGCAUCAACCAUUCACAGUGACCAUGCACAUUUACAUAUAUACCAAUAGUACAUUCUAAUUUGCCAUCUUGUUUUGGGAAAAAGAUCGACAAUGUGGGCUAUAUAACAUUCUAAGAUAGAGAAGUAAUGUAUUUUGGUCCCAAUAAGCAACAACUUCUUGAUUUCUUUUUUCCUCCCCAAUUGUUUAAUCAAGCCUGCAAGAGAAAAGGCUGCUUUAAAAAUUAAUCACUAUACAUAUUGGGUUCAGAAAUAAGCAAGGUUUUACUUUGAAAAUACUAAGGUAAUUAUUAGUACCUCUAUACUAGAUGUAGAGUUUGGAAAAAACAAAUCUCCCAAAUUGAGUUGACAUGAGAUCAAACGACUAGCGUCAUUAAUUAUAUAUAAGAGGGACUGACAAUGAAACACAUACACAUGUAAUUGCAAAAAGAAAGAUGCCAAAAUAUCACAGUACUUUUCUUCUUUUAACUUGCCCAUUUCACCUCUGUAUGAGAUCUGAUCAAUUUGGUUGAUGUGGAAUGAAUCCCUGACCAAAGUGAGGGAAACAAUUGAUUACUAGGAAUAAACAAAUUAUUCUUAUAUAACAUCCAUCAAAUUAAUGGCAAGUCUUAGUACAAGAGUUUAUAGGAAAACAACUAGAAUUAAUGAUGUCAACUCUCAUAAUAAGAUUACAACCAUGCAUGAUAUAUGCAAAACAACAACAGGUGGCAUCUAUCACUUAGAUCUAUUUUAUUCUCAAGUAACAAGCUCAUGAUGGAAACAAACAAGGAACUUGACACAUGUUACAUAACAGCCAACAAGGAGUUCCCACAUUUAUCCUAAAAAUAAUCAUUUUUAAUCAAAUAAUACCAAAUUCUAGUGUCAACACUCGCA